GACUCUCCCUUCUGCAAGUCGGGAGAGAGGAUAAGAUAUAUUUAUGACGGUCAAAAGGUGAGAAAGCCUCGUACGCGCGUUUCACAUCUUUCGCACAACUGAACACAAAGGACGGGUUACACGCUGGACAAUUCUGAAGAAAAAAAAAAAAACUCUCAGUGACAUUAGGACAUCACUGGACAAAUGGUGACAGUGGUUCCAAUGGCGAUGAGGAAACGCUGACAUCUGUCAAUGCACAGAGGAUGCAUUCGAAACAACUGGUUUAAAAAAAAAAAAAAGCUAAAUCUUUAAUGACAGACGUUACUCGUGCACCAUGUAUCACCAAAGCAAGGCAAGUGGGAACCAUCCCUCCCUCCUUGUUCUGUAUCCUGUCUGCAUAGGAUAACAACACUUUGGAGCCAGACUGCCAUCCCCUCCAACACUGGGCUGGAGCGAGCUGCAAGGACAAAAGAACAAAAACCAUCACCUGAAACAAACUGUACAUUUUAUAAGUACUCCGAUCCUGAUGGUCUUUUUGUCUGCACAUGGUGUUCACGUGAUUAUUGGCCCAGCUGUUUGAUCCAACAGAUACCGGAAGCACACUCACCAAGUUUACAUGUUUACACUACAGUUAAGAUGUUGGCAUAAGGUAAGGAAGAACAUAUGAAAAAUAAAAAUAAAAAGGCAUUUUAAGGAUUCCGAUAUCUUCUUAUUACAUCAUUUUGUGCCGGAAUGGUAAAGUGGAG
Molecule: long non-coding RNA, 725 nt
Organism: Gasterosteus aculeatus aculeatus (three-spined stickleback)
Lineage: Eukaryota; Metazoa; Chordata; Actinopteri; Perciformes; Gasterosteidae
Source: Ensembl